CAGCGCCGCAAGUGGCGAUCCUUUUUAUUUGGCCUAAAGCGUCCGUAGCCGGUUUGGUAAAUCUUUUGUGAAAUUGUUCAGCUCAACUGAACAGCGUGCAGGAGAGACUGCCAAGCUAGGGACCGGGAGGAGCUAGAGAUAUGCUGGGGGGAGCGGUAAAAUGCUAUAAUCCUCAGUAGAUCACCUGUGGCGAAGGCGUCUAGCUAGAACGGGUCCGACGGUGAGGGACGAAAGCCAGGGGAGCAAACCGGAUUAGAUACCCGAGUAGUCC
This 271-nucleotide ribosomal RNA is filed under the name uncultured archaeon. Its description in RNAcentral is "partial 16S ribosomal RNA". It matches the Rfam family "Archaeal small subunit ribosomal RNA", at positions 477 to 747 of the family's 1478-position model. The record is from RNAcentral.